UGCCGGCGGGCACCGCUAUGGGGAUACGCUUAAGGCAUGCGAGUCGAGAGACGAAAGGUCUCGGCGGAUUGCUCAGUAACACGCGAAUAAUCUGCCCUUGGGUGGAGGAUAACCCCGGGAAACUGGGACUAAUACUCCAUAGUCCACCUCUGCUGGAACGCUGGGUGGGCCAAAGCUCCGGCGCCCAAGGAUGAAUUUGCGGCCUAUCAGGUCGUAGUGGGUGUAACGGACCCACUAGCCGAUGACGGGUACGGGCCAUGAGAGUGGUUGCCCGGAGAUGGAUUCUGAGACACGAAUCCAGGUCCUACGGGGCGCAGCAGCCGCGAAAACUUCGCAAUGUGGGAAACCACGACGAGGGAAUCCCCAGUGCUCGUACUAUGUACGAGCUGUUUCUCUGUCUAAAAAGCAGAGAGAGUAAGGGCUGGGUAAGACGGGUGCCAGCCGCCGCGGUAAUACCCGCAGCCCGAGUGGUGCUCGUUAUUAUUGGGCCUAAAACGCCCGUAGCCGGCCUUGUAAAUCCAUGUGGAAAUCGGAGUGCUCAACGCUCCGAAAGGGCGUGGACACUGCAGGGCUUGGGACUGGGUGAGGUCGGAGGUACUUCCGGGGUAGGGGUGAAAUCCUGUAAUCCUGGAAGGACCACCAGUGGCGAAGGCGUCCGACUAGAACGGAUCCGACGGUCAGGGACGAAGCCCUGGGGCGCAAACGGGAUUAGAUACCCCGGUAGUCCUGGGUGUAAACGCUGCAGGCUUGGUGUCGGAGGUCCUACGGGGGCGUCCGGUGCCGGAGCGAAGGUGUUAAGCCUGCUACUUGGGGAGUACGGUCGCAAGACUGAAACUUAAAGGGAUUGGCGGGGGAGCACCGCAACGGGAGGAGCGUGCGGUUCAAUUGGAUUCAACGCCGGAAAACUCACCAGGGGCGACCCUUACAUGAAGGCCAGGCCAACGACCUUGCCUGAUUUUGGGAGAGGUGGUGCAUGGCCGUCGUCAGUUCGUACCGUAAGGCGUUCUGUCAAGUCAGAUAACGAACGAGACCCUCGCCUAUAGUUGCCACCGGCAUCUCCGGAUGCCGAGCACAUUAUGGGGACCGCUGGUGCUAAAUCAGAGGAAGGGGAGGUCAACGGUAGGUCCGUAUGCCCCGAAUCCCCCGGGCUACACGCGCGCUACAAAGGUUGGGACAAUGGGCUCCGACCCCGAGAGGGGGAGGCAAUCCCGAAACCCAAUCGUAGUUCGGACUGAGGGCUGUAACUCGCCCUCACGAAGAUGGAUUCCGUAGUAAUCGCGUGUCAACAUCACGCGGUGAAUAUGCCCCAGCUCCUUGCACACACCGCC
This 1328-nucleotide ribosomal RNA is filed under the name uncultured archaeon. Its description in RNAcentral is "bacterial SSU rRNA". It matches the Rfam family "Archaeal small subunit ribosomal RNA". The record is from RNAcentral.